Molecule: unclassified non-coding RNA, 296 nt
Filed under: Methylomagnum ishizawai
Lineage: Bacteria; Pseudomonadati; Pseudomonadota; Gammaproteobacteria; Methylococcales; Methylococcaceae
Description: Long range pseudoknot
Source: RNAcentral
ACCGACGAAGGCGACUAUCAGGUCAAAUUACGCAAUCUCGUGCGUUUCUUGACCGAAGGCGAUAAGGCCAAGGUAACCGUCAGGUUCCGCGGGCGCGAAUUAAGCCAUAAAGAUUUGGGUAUGGACCUGCUCAAACGGAUCGAAACCGAUUUGGUGGAGCAUGCGGUGGUCGAGCAGUUCCCGAAAAUGGAAGGCAAGCAGUUGAGUAUGACGCUUGCGCCCAAACGCAAAAAAUAACCCGACUUCAACCUGGAGACUAUCAUGCCAAAAUUGAAAACCAAUCGCGGCGCGGCCAA